CACAUUCAUGGCCACCUACACCAUCCCUUUGCAUGCCCCAAGCGAGCCAGAGACCCGGAACAGAUCAGGGGGGGGACAAUUAAUCAGAGCAGAAAGGACUUUAUUCAGCUGGAAUUCCUUCCACGGCUGCACCACUGAGAACAAAUUAGCAGUUCACACGUUGCAAUUGGCCUUUUCUGUGGACGUGGAGUUUGGACUACGGGCACCUUUGAGGGAACCUGCACCUUUCCCUUGCCCGGGGGUGUUACCAGGGGUUGACUGGGCUGUUGAAAGCCGUUCUGCCUCCCUGCAAAACAUUUCGGGAGAUGAGAGCUUAUCUGGAGAAACCUAAGCCCUUCAAUUCACACCUGCUCCCAAUUUUGGAUGAGUGCCUUUUCCCCACCUUUUCCUAGCCGCUGUCUGUGUGUCCGGCCAGUGAGGGGGUGAAUGGACGGGCCAUCAGCAGGGCAUCCCUAGAACAAUGAUAUCAAUCAAGGGACCAAGGGAGGGGACUCCGGACGCUGAUGGUGCUCAGGGAUUUCAUUCAUGGGCAGUGACUGCUAAUUGCUUUCACAACUGAUAGAUACCUGCGAUCCAGCUCCUCCCAGAGGACAGGGCUCUGGUGAGCGUGCUAAGCACACAUUCCUCACCGUGAAACACAGCGAUCUAGAGCCAUUAUUUCCCAUCAGCUCCUCCCUGCAAACCCUUUCCCAGGCGAAGGACCAAUUUCCCUGCGCUCUGCAACACAUGACUAACGCUGUCAUCUGCCCUGAGGGAGUUACAGGCUUCUCUUGAGAUGCUCAGGACCGAUGAGGAGCUGGAGUGGAUGGUCCUUACCUCCCUGAUGGCUGAGCUUUGGCAGCUCCCACAAUGGUGAAGCAGACAGACCUCCACCCUGCAAACACCUCGCCCAACAAAAGUUCAGAAGGACUGGGCAGAGGAAUCAGGGCUGCCCGGGGGUGCUGAGCCACGCUGGGAGGUGCUGGAGCUGUCUGAGGCACAGGGACAGCCCUUGGAUGGUGCCCAGAGGCACAGAAGGCUCUGUGCUCCUGGGAUUGCUGCUCUGGUGGCAGCUACCUCAUGCACCAAACCUGACACCUGUGACAGGGAUGUGGGGAUGAAACACGGCCCUUCCUGCUCACUGCAGGUGUGGGAGCACCGAGCCUGCCACGCUGCCACAGCCAGACCAGCCAAGGGCACUGGGGACCAGGGGCUGGUGCCACUUGAU
RNAcentral lists this long non-coding RNA (1207 nucleotides) under Manacus vitellinus (golden-collared manakin). RNAcentral describes it as "lncRNA (ENSMVIG00005010465.1)". The record is from RNAcentral. Lineage: Eukaryota; Metazoa; Chordata; Aves; Passeriformes; Pipridae.